RNAcentral lists this ribosomal RNA (408 nucleotides) under uncultured bacterium. RNAcentral's name for it is "partial 16S ribosomal RNA". It matches the Rfam family "Bacterial small subunit ribosomal RNA", at positions 28 to 526 of the family's 1533-position model. The record is from RNAcentral.
GACGAACGCUGGCGGCGUGCUUAACACAUGCAAGUCGAACGGAGUGGCGAACGGGUGAGUAACACGUGGGUGACCUGCCCCGCACUUAGGGAUAAGACUGGGAGACUGGGUCUAAUACCGGAUAGUGUGGGAUGGGCGCGGGGCCUAUCAGCUUGUUGGUGGGGUAUUGGCCUACCAAGGCGGCGACGGGUAGCCGGCCUGAGAGGGUGGACGGCCACAAUGGGACUGAGAGACGGCCCAGACUGCUACGGGAGGCAGCGGUGGGGAAUAUUACACAGUGGGGGGAAGCCUGAUGCAGCGACGCCGCGUGGGGGAUGACGGCCUUCGGGUUGGAAACUCCUUUCACCAUCGACGCGGUAGAUGCAGAAGAAGCACCGGCUAACUACGUGCCAGCAGCCGCGGUAAUAC